GAUGAACGCUGGCGGCGUGCUUAAUACAUGCAAGUCGAACGGAGGUAUGUAGCAAUACGUAUCUUAGUGGCGAACGGGUGAGUAACACGUUGGUGACCUGCCCCAGAGAGGGGGAUAACAGCUCGAAAGGGCUGCUAAUACCCCAUGCCGUCAUGGCGCUUAGAAAGCCAUGACGAAAGGUGCAAACCGCUCUGGGAGGGGCCUGCGUCCCAUCAGCUAGUUGGUAGGGUAAUAGCCUACCAAGGCUUUGACGGGUAGGGGACCUGAGAGGGUGGCCCCCCACAAUGGAACUGAGACACGGACCAGACUCCUACGGGUGGCUG
Molecule: ribosomal RNA, 323 nt
Filed under: uncultured Chloroflexota bacterium
Lineage: Bacteria; Bacillati; Chloroflexota
Description: bacterial SSU rRNA
Rfam family: Bacterial small subunit ribosomal RNA
Source: RNAcentral